GACAGAGGGUGCAAACGUUGUUCGGAAUUACUGGGCGUAAAGCGCGUGUAGGCUGCUCUGCAAGUCGGGUGUGAAAGCCCCGGGCUCAACCUGGGAAUUGCAUUCGAGACUGCAUGGCUAGGGUGCGGAAGAGGGAAGCGGAAUUUCCGGUGUAGCGGUGAAAUGCGUAGAUAUCGGAAGGAACACCAGUGGCGAAAGCGGCUUCCUGGUCCAGCACCGACGUUCAGGCACGAAAGCGUGGGGAGCAAACAGG
RNAcentral lists this ribosomal RNA (253 nucleotides) under uncultured bacterium. RNAcentral describes it as "partial 16S ribosomal RNA". It matches the Rfam family "Bacterial small subunit ribosomal RNA", at positions 524 to 776 of the family's 1533-position model. The record is from RNAcentral.